This 737-nucleotide unclassified non-coding RNA is filed under the name Hevea brasiliensis (rubber tree). Lineage: Eukaryota; Viridiplantae; Streptophyta; Magnoliopsida; Malpighiales; Euphorbiaceae. The record is from RNAcentral.
GUUAUUAAUUGUAAAAAUAAAUAAUAAUAUAAUGUCCAUCACAUUUCUCAUUUCAAUACCCUUUUCGUCUAACUGUUUCCAAGUGAAUCAUUACAAUAGUUUCUGAUUCUUCCACCAUUCUGAGCUCAUGAAGCACAUAUUGUCGAAGUGAUGAUAUAACAUAGCAAGACUAUAGAUCCACAAUAUAAAUUCUUUACCAAAUUAAGCAGGUUAGAUCUAAUCUUCCCUUGUUUGAAGCCAUCAAUGGACAAAAGCUUUUACAUGGCUGUUAUGAGGAAAAAUCUUUUGCUUCAGAUUUUAUGAGGCAGCAUAAACAGAAAGUGGUCCUGCAGAGAAAUGAUUGCUCUUCUGUUUUCUUUCCUGCUCACCUAACAUUCUAAAGAGCAUAGUGACAAAAGCACCGUUAAAGUGCUACUGUCAGCUCCUGUUAGAGUAGUAAUGGAAGGAGUUUGUGGUGGUGGGUGUUGUCAGGCACAGAUUAUUCACAGAAUGACUUUGCUGCUGAUUGAAUGGAAAGGUUGCUGAAGAGGCAGUGAUUGUUGCUGAUGAAGCGAAUCCUGAUGAUGCUGCAAAAUCAUUGCCGUUGUUGUUUCCAUUUUUUAUUAUCCAUGGCCAACUUGAGCUUUUUAGCGAAGAAUCCGCUCCGACUGUCUUCUCUGCAACCAUUUCCUGAUUGCUUGGUGAAAAUCCAGGAUAUAUGCCAGACAAUGUUGGAAGGUUCUUUGAUGCUAUUGGCA